CUUCCUUUCUCAGUACCACUCCUUUAAAUGCUGCCUGGGCUGUUGGCAUCCAGCUGUGUGCUUUCAGGCUCUGACAACAUCACCAGGAGUGUGUACUGCAGAAGCAUUGUUUCUUCAUUUAAUUAUAUGCCCCUGGCUUUUAUUUUGAGUGAGCUCAGGACCAUGCUCACAGCCUAUUUCUCUGCUGAAGGCUGAAGACCAGAUGUGGCUGUAAACUGGAAACUCUUCAAAGCACAGCUCAGAAAGGCCUAGAGCUGCCAUGUGAGCAGUGUGAAGCCAUGACCACAAGCAGCCUGAAACAUGUCAAGGUCACCCAAGGGAUCACAGAAUCACAAAGGUUGGAAAAGACCUCUAAGAUCAUUGAGUCCGACUGGAUGGGUGUGAAGAAAUGGAAUAAGCUUCAUUACACUGUUAUGUGACAGAAGAGGUUCUAGGAGCUAAUGAAAAUACUGUGGAAAAAGAAGUGUGCACAGAAACACUUUGAUUUGAUUACAAUAAAAAAUUUAUUUUGAUUCA
Molecule: long non-coding RNA, 516 nt
Filed under: Parus major (Great Tit)
Lineage: Eukaryota; Metazoa; Chordata; Aves; Passeriformes; Paridae
Description: lncRNA (ENSPMJG00000011764.1)
Source: RNAcentral